Molecule: ribosomal RNA, 424 nt
Filed under: uncultured bacterium
Lineage: Bacteria
Description: partial 16S ribosomal RNA
Rfam family: Bacterial small subunit ribosomal RNA
Source: RNAcentral
AAUUUUGGACAAUGGGGGCAACCCUGAUCCAGCCAUCCCGCGUGUGCGAUGAAGGCCUUCGGGUUGUAAAGCACUUUUGGCAGGGAAGAAAAGGCUCUGGUUAAUACCUGGAGCCGCUGACGGUACCUGCAGAAUAAGCACCGGCUAACUACGUGCCAGCAGCCGCGGUAAUACGUAGGGUGCAAGCGUUAAUCGGAUUUACUGGGCGUAAAGCGUGCGUAGGCGGCUUUUUAAGCCGGAUGUGAAAUCCCUGAGCUUAACUUAGGAAUUGCAUUCGAUACUGGAAAGCUAGAGUAUGGGAGAGGAUGGUAGAAUUCCACGUGUAGCAGUGAAAUGCGUAGAGAUGUGGAGGAACACCGAUGGCGAAGGCAGCCCCCUGGGCCGAUACUGACGCUCAUGCACGAAAGCGUGGGUAGCAAACAGG